UCGUACAACAGAGGCACAAGGGCUGUCGCUGAUCUUUAAAAGGUUGUGCACGCCCAAGUGCUCUCACACACAUCCAUCUCACCCCUUGUGCAUCACCGCGUGGGUCCCCCCUUACGGGAGGGUUCACGUCUUCACAUAAAACUUAAUGCAGUAUAGAAUGUUUUCUUUUUUGUUUGCGGUCACACGCAAUAAAUA
RNAcentral lists this unclassified non-coding RNA (195 nucleotides) under uncultured Russula. Its description in RNAcentral is "sequence contains ITS1". The record is from RNAcentral. Lineage: Eukaryota; Fungi; Basidiomycota; Agaricomycetes; Russulales; Russulaceae.